CCGCAUGGCCCAUGGAAGAAAAGGUGGCCUCUACCUGUAAGCUAUCGCCUGAAGAGGGGUUUGCGUCUGAUUAGCUGGUUGGAGGGGUAACGGCCCACCAAGGCGACGAUCAGUAGCCGGUCUGAGAGGAUGAACGGCCACACUGGAACUGAGACACGGUCCAGACUCCUACGGGAGGCAGCAGUGGGGAAUCUUCCGCAAUGGGCGAAAGCCUGACGGAGCAACGCCGCGUGAGUGAUGACGGCCUUCGGGUUGUAAAACUCUGUGAUCCGGGACGAAAAGGCAGAGUGCGAAGAACAAACUGCAUUGACGGUACCGGAAAAGCAAGCCACGGCUAACUACGUGCCAGCAGCCGCGGUAAUACGUAGGUGGCAAGCGUUGUCCGGAAUUAUUGGGCGUAAAGCGCGCGCAGGCGGCUUCCCAAGUCCCUCUUAAAAGUGCGGGGCUUAACCCCGUGAUGGGAAGGAAACUGGGAAGCUGGAGUAUCGGAGAGGAAAGUGGAAUUCCUAGUGUAGCGGUGAAAUGCGUAGAGAUUAGGAAGAACACCGGUGGCGAAGGCGACUUUCUGGACGAAAACUGACGCUGAGGCGCGAAAGCGUGGGGAGCAAACAGGAUUAGAUACCCUGGUAGUCCACGCCGUAAACGAUGGAUACUAGGUGUAGGAGGUAUCGACCCCUCCUGUGCCGGAGUUAACGCAAUAAGUAUCCCGUCCUGGGAA
RNAcentral lists this ribosomal RNA (718 nucleotides) under uncultured bacterium. RNAcentral's name for it is "bacterial SSU rRNA". It matches the Rfam family "Bacterial small subunit ribosomal RNA", at positions 186 to 880 of the family's 1533-position model. The record is from RNAcentral.